UUUUGCUCAAAUCCUUGAAAAAAAGAAAUCUUCUGGACCCGAAAGGUGAUUUAAUGAUACUUUGAUCCUAUUUUACGUUUAGGUUUUGGACCCGUGAAUUGAACUCUUGUAUUUGGUUUAUGAUAAAUUAGAAACAGAGCGAUUGGAAACUAUGUCCCAAUAACGAGAUGGCAAGACCUGAUCUGAGUGCCGCUGCUUUUACUUCUCUUUUUUUGUUUUCUUGCUUAAAUAAAUUGCUAGAACAAGUUAGAAUCAAUAAAAAUAUGCAUGCUGCAUCGAUAAGUUUACAGAUAAUUUUUUAUCAAGAUAUUGAGAAUUUAACUGCAUUUUCUGAAAAUAAGUUGCGGGUAGGGUAAGAGAGGAUUAGUAAAAUUCGACUGCAAAAGAAGAGGGAGGCAAGUAAUUGGAGAGUGA
RNAcentral lists this long non-coding RNA (414 nucleotides) under Populus trichocarpa (black cottonwood). Its description in RNAcentral is "long non-coding RNA (PTRI_LNC002303)". Lineage: Eukaryota; Viridiplantae; Streptophyta; Magnoliopsida; Malpighiales; Salicaceae. The record is from RNAcentral.